GGUGAAUAUAAUUCAAAGGUUAGAAUAUAAAUUUGUGGCAUUUAGUGUUUCUGGUUCGAUUCCAGAUAUUCACC
RNAcentral lists this transfer RNA (74 nucleotides) under Pneumocystis sp. 'ludovicianus'. RNAcentral describes it as "tRNA-His". It matches the Rfam family "tRNA". Rfam says of the family: Transfer RNA (tRNA) molecules are approximately 80 nucleotides in length. Their secondary structure includes four short double-helical elements and three loops (D, anti-codon, and T loops). The record is from RNAcentral. Lineage: Eukaryota; Fungi; Ascomycota; Pneumocystomycetes; Pneumocystales; Pneumocystaceae.